AGGUUACUGCUAUCGGUGUUCGCGUCAGCCAUGCGAGUCAUAUGUUCUUCGUGAACAUGGCGUACUGCUCAGUAACACGUGGAUAACCUGCCUUUGGGUCCGGCAUAACCCCGGGAAACUGGGGAUAAUUCCGGAUAACGCACAUAUGCUGGAAUGCUUUAUGCGUCAAAUGGAUUCGUCCGCCCAAGGAUGGGUCUGCGGCCUAUCAGGUAGUAGUGGGUGUAAUGUACCUACUAGCUACGACGGGUACGGGUUGUGAGAGCAAGAGCCCGGAGAUGGAUUCUGAGACAUGAAUCCAGGCCUUACGGGGCGCAGCAGGCGCGAAAACUUUACAAUGCGGGAAACCGUGAUAAGGGGACACCGAGUGCCAGCAUCAUAUGCUGGCUGUCCGGGUGUGUAAAAUACACCUGUUAGCAAGGGCCGGGCAAGACCGGUGCCAGCCGCCGCGGUAACACCGGCGGCCCGAGUGGUGAUCGUGAUUAUUGGGUCUAAAGGGUCCGUAGCCGGUUUGGUCAGUCCUCCGGGAAAUCUGACGGCUUAACCGUUAGGCUUUCGGGGGAUACUGCCAGACUUGGAACCGGGAGAGGUAAGAGGUACUACAGGGGUAGGAGUGAAAUCUUGUAAUCCCUGUGGGACCACCUGUGGCGAAGGCGUCUUACCAGAACGGGUUCGACGGUGAGGGACGAAAGCUGGGGGCACGAACCGGAUUAGAUACCCGGGUAGUCCCAGCCGUAAACGAUGCUCGCUAGGUGUCAGGCAUGGCGCGACCGUGUCUGGUGCCGCAGGGAAGCCGUGAAGCGAGCCACCUGGGAAGUACGGCCGCAAGGCUGAAACUUAA
RNAcentral lists this ribosomal RNA (838 nucleotides) under uncultured soil archaeon. RNAcentral describes it as "bacterial SSU rRNA". It matches the Rfam family "Archaeal small subunit ribosomal RNA", at positions 21 to 859 of the family's 1478-position model. The record is from RNAcentral.